Molecule: non-coding RNA, 791 nt
Organism: Jatropha curcas
Lineage: Eukaryota; Viridiplantae; Streptophyta; Magnoliopsida; Malpighiales; Euphorbiaceae
Source: RefSeq, a predicted model, not a curated record
CCAAAAGAAACCCAUCGGAGCUAUCCGAAUCAUUCACCUGAACAUGACUCAACAGUUUCUUUGCCUCGUGUAACCGAAACGCGACUUUUGAGGGAAAAGGAACCCACUUAGGUGGAACGGUGAAGUCCACUGCCUGAGUCCGUAGAUCAUCACCGUUAAUCAUGGCCGAUGAUGAUCCAAAAAAUGUUAGAGUCCAACCACCAAAGAUACUGAAAAAGGCACUUGAGAUUCCGAGAUCGGCCGUAAUACGAGGUAACCAGAAAGGUGCGAAGUCGUAAAUAAUCCAAUCAGGAGUAGAAGUUUCUAGAAACUGAAGCAGAGGGCAUUGCAGGUUAUCGUAGGCUUUCUUGAGGUAUGGAACCUUGUGCGUGGGAAUGUCAGUGGUGGCCUCUGAAUUAGGGGGGAGAUGGUCCUCAGAAGGUAAAGUGAGGGUCACUAAAUGGACAAGGUUUGCUAAAUUUGGAGGGAUUUUGGGCAAACGAUGGAUGUUUUUAGGGGUAGAAAUAAAGGAGAUUUUGUGACCUCUUUUGGCUAAAAGCUUGGCGAGCUCGAGGAAUGGGAUUAUAUGACCAAACGCUAACCAUGGAAACAGAGCAAUAUGGAGCUUUUUAUGUUCAUUCAUGGUUAACAGAGGACCAAUGUAGAAGCCUACAAGCUGCUUGUAGAAAAUCCCUAUAUUGAAAAAUGAAAAUCAUGAUGAGCAAAACCUUGGGCUAAUCGUGGCUGAUAUUGUAUCAAAAAAUAUCCUUUAGCAGGAGUGAAAAUACUAAAAUGGCCUUGUUUUAAUUGAA